RNAcentral lists this ribosomal RNA (722 nucleotides) under Pantoea brenneri. RNAcentral describes it as "bacterial SSU rRNA". It matches the Rfam family "Bacterial small subunit ribosomal RNA", at positions 22 to 734 of the family's 1533-position model. Lineage: Bacteria; Pseudomonadati; Pseudomonadota; Gammaproteobacteria; Enterobacterales; Erwiniaceae. The record is from RNAcentral.
GNUCNGAGUNAACGCGGGCGGCNGGCNUAUCACACNCAAAUNGAACGGCAGCACAGAAGAGCNUGGUUUUUGGGUGGCGAGUGGCGGACGGGUGAGUAAUGUCUGGGGAUCUGCCCGGUAGAGGGGGAUAACCACUGGAAACGGUGGCUAAUACCGCAUAACGUCGCAAGACCAAAGAGGGGGACCUUCGGGCCUCUCACUAUCGGAUGAACCCAGAUGGGAUUAGCUAGUAGGUGGGGUAACGGCUCACCUAGGCGACGAUCCCUAGCUGGUCUGAGAGGAUGACCAGCCACACUGGAACUGAGACACGGUCCAGACUCCUACGGGAGGCAGCAGUGGGGAAUAUUGCACAAUGGGCGCAAGCCUGAUGCAGCCAUGCCGCGUGUAUGAAGAAGGCCUUCGGGUUGUAAAGUACUUUCAGCGGGGAGGAAGGGAUGAAGCUUAAUACGCUUCGUCAUUGACGUUACCCGCAGAAGAAGCACCGGCUAACUCCGUGCCAGCAGCCGCGGUAAUACGGAGGGUGCAAGCGUUAAUCGGAAUUACUGGGCGUAAAGCGCACGCAGGCGGUCUGUCAAGUCGGAUGUGAAAUCCCCGGGCUUAACCUGGGAACUGCAUUCGAAACUGGCAGGCUAGAGUCUUGUAGAGGGGGGUAGAAUUCCAGGUGUAGCGGUGAAAUGCGUAGAGAUCUGGAGGAAUACCGGUGGCGAAGGCGGCCCCCGGAC